This 28-nucleotide small RNA is filed under the name Bombyx mori (domestic silkworm). Its description in RNAcentral is "ovarian small RNA-23039". Lineage: Eukaryota; Metazoa; Arthropoda; Insecta; Lepidoptera; Bombycidae. The record is from RNAcentral.
UAGUGAAAUCAGGGUAACGAAUCUCAAC